GAACGCUGGCGGCAUGCCUUACACAUGCAAGUCGAACGGCAGCACGGGAGCAAUCCUGGUGGCGAGUGGCGAACGGGUGAGUAAUGUAUCGGAACGUGCCUUGUCGUGGGGGAUAACGUAGCGAAAGCUACGCUAAUACCGCAUACCAUCUAAGGAUGAAAGCGGGGGAUCGCAAGACCUCGCGCGACAAGAGUGGCCGAUAUCAGAUUAGGUUGUUGGUAGGGUAAUGGCUUACCAAGGCGACGAUCAGUAGUUGGUCUGAGAGGACGACCAGCCACACUGGGACUGAGACACGGCCCAGACUCCUACGGGAGGCAGCAGUGGGGAAUUUUGGACAAUGGGCGCAAGCCUGAUCCAGCAAUGCCGCGUGAGUGAAGAAGGCCUUCGGGUUGUAAAGCUCUUUCAGUUGAGAAGAAAAAGUCGUGACUAAUAAUCAUGAUUCAUGACGGUAUCAACAGAAGAAGCACCGGCUAACUACGUG
Molecule: ribosomal RNA, 481 nt
Filed under: uncultured bacterium
Lineage: Bacteria
Description: bacterial SSU rRNA
Rfam family: Bacterial small subunit ribosomal RNA
Source: RNAcentral